RNAcentral lists this unclassified non-coding RNA (399 nucleotides) under soil metagenome. RNAcentral describes it as "partial contains 5.8S ribosomal RNA, internal transcribed spacer 2, and large subunit ribosomal RNA". The stretch from base 1 to 121 matches the Rfam family "5.8S ribosomal RNA", at positions 35 to 154 of the family's 154-position model. The record is from RNAcentral.
GAUGAAGAACGCAGCGAAAUGCGAUAAGUAAUGUGAAUUGCAGAAUUCAGUGAAUCAUCGAAUCUUUGAACGCACCUUGCGCCCUUUGGCCAUUCCGAAGGGCAUGCCUGUUUGAGUAUCAUGAACACCUCAACUCUCAUGGCUUGCCAUGAUGAGCUUGGACUUUGGGGGUCUUGCUGGCCUGUGGUCGGCUCCUCUCAAAUGAAUCAGCUUGCCAGUGUUUGGUGGCAUCACAAGUGUGAUAACUAUCUGCGCUCGUGGUUUCCAUCAGAUAACCUCCAGUGAUGGAGGUUCGCUGGAGCUCAUAAAUGUCUCUCCUAAGCGAGGACAGCUCUUUUAAUGUUUGAUCUCAAAUCAGGUAGGACUACCCGCUGAACUUAAGCAUAUCAAUAAGCGGGA